CCAGCUUCAAGGCCCACCCUCUUUGCCAAGCCCAUGGACCAAACUAGAGGAUAUAAUCAUUGAAUGGAAACACACUACCUUUGAAUAUAUAUUGUCACGCAUCAAGCACGGUUCCAUUCCCUGGUCUGACCAGAUUUCCUUCUAACUGGCAAUAUUUCACUGGCUUUCUACAAGAUGGGUCAACCAUCGAGAUGGGUUUGGGGGGUCCUUCUGUGCCUUACCAUUUCUACAACUCCAGGUUCAUCUGCAGAUUCAGUAGACCCUGCCACGUUUUACACUACAACUCUGGCUUUGGCAAUCGAGAUCACCAAUGUGGGCUUCAAUGCCUCCCUGCAGAAUUGUCACUCAGAGUACUCCAAGUGGAUGGAUGCAGAAGUGAAAAUGCUGCUUGACGGCGUUUACAAAUGUAACGAUUGCGAUACAAAACUAACCUACGGAGGUGUUGAGUGCAUAACCUACAGGUAUUGUGACCCUCAAUUAUUAUGUUUUUGUCUGGCUAGCUUGGGUAUGCUGUAUUUGUUUUAUGCUUUGGUUCUAAUUAUAUAGCUCAUAUUUAUAGACAAAUCAUUACUUUUCAAUUACAAAAAUCAAUCACUGUCAUUUUGAAUUUCAUUAUCAUUAAAUGUUUUUAGAUUUAUUUAUUAUUUUUAUACUUCACAGAUCCGGACUGAUAGCUACCGCGCCUAUCAUCUUCAACACCGAUUCAAUCAACCCAUAUAUUGUCCGUGGAAUCUUUGGACAAAAUAUUGCAACAGCUCAACCCCAAACAAAACUCAUUGUGAACAAGGAAUACACAAUCAAAACACUGCCGAUCCAAUUAGAUAAAGAUGCGUGCAAGAAAAUAAGUACAACUACUGAGCCACCUAUAACUCCUGAACCAACGUCGACUCCUGAGCCAACUUCAACUCCUGAGCCAACCUCAACCUCUUCAACUCCUGAGCCAACUAAAACUCCUGAGCCAACUUCAACUCCUGAGCCAACUUCAACUCUGCAACCAACUUCAACUCCUUCAACUCCUGAGCCAACCACAACUCCUGAGCCAACUAUAACUCCUUCAACUCCUGAGCCAACUUCAACUCCUGAGCCAACUUCAACUCCUCCAACUCCUGAGCCAACUUCAACUCCUUCAACUCCUGAGCCACCUAGAACUCCUGAGCCAACUACAACUCCUGAGCCAACUACAACUCCUGAGCCAACUACAACUCCGCAGCCAACUUCAACUCCUUCAACUCCUGAGCCAACUUCAACUCUGCAACCAACUUCAACUCCUACAACUCCUGAGCCAACUGCAACUCCUGAGCCAACUACAACUCUGCAGCCAACUUCAACUCCUUCAACUCCUGAGCCAACAACAACCACUGACAAUACAGUGACCCCUGACCUGACAAAUAACCCUGACCCUACAACGACCCCUGACCUUACCAACGCCACUGACCCUACCAAUAACCCUAACCAUACAGCAACCCUUGACCCGGCCAAUGGUGGAGGAAUAUCUGUUUCUCCCAGUGGUGGAGAAAACCGUGACGAUAGAGACUGGGUGCCCGGAUGGGGCAUUGCCGUCCUGGUGUUAGCUGCAGCCAUCCUGUUGCUUCUCAUCAUCAUUUUUAUCCUUUUGGUUAGUAAUCCGGAAAAGUUAUUUAUUUUUUCAUUUUUGUAUUCUAGUAUAUUCUUUAUGUCUGGAAAUUCCGCCUUAGGUUAGAAAGCCAAAUUGAACCCUCCAGGAAGCAAUGCAUAAGCCUUUGUUGAAAUUACUUUGACCUAUUUUCAGUGCGUUCACCAUUGCCGCGAGCGCCCAUCAGAGGACCCCAUGGAGAAGAACACUGACCCAUACUAUGAGCAGAACGAGAUGCCUCCUCAGGAAACUGUGCCAGUACUCUAUCCAUCAUUACCGACAACAGCGCCCUCAAGUCCAAUGCAGGCACAGAUGGUGGUUGUAAGUACGAUUUGUGUUGGUAUUCCUAGAUUGUCAUAAUGAUGACUAGUUUGCAGCUUGGUUAAGA
Molecule: long non-coding RNA, 2000 nt
Organism: Gadus morhua (Atlantic cod)
Lineage: Eukaryota; Metazoa; Chordata; Actinopteri; Gadiformes; Gadidae
Source: Ensembl